UCGGUCAACUUAUGCAAAUAUUAGUACAUUCACAAAUAGCUCAGAAUAAAGAGAGUUGAUGAGAAUUUCAAAUGUGUUCAUAAAAAAAAAAAUUACAAAUGAGAGCAUAACAGAAGUUAACUUCUUCCAUUACCAGGAUGAGAGAAAUUGAUGCUGACCCAGCUAAUACGAACAUCUUUCCAAUGCAACACAAACUUACAUAAUUCGCAUGUCCAAAAUCUAUAAUUCUAUCUGCUAUCUGGGAAUUUGGCUGCAUAGAUCUGUGGCAUCAUUGGUGUUGCAGUGAUCAUCUUCCCAGCAAACCAUCUUCCAUGAAGAGCCCGUUGUGCAUUCAUCGCAGCUUGUGUAUUAUCAAAUUGCAAAUACACAAAACCAGCACUAUUUUUGUCCACGUAAAUAUGCUUCAAAUUUCCAAAUUUAGAGCAUUCAUCUUGAACAUCUUCUUUAAUAUCCAAAUCAAAGUCUGGUUCCGUCUCUAAUUUUGGGUCAAACAUAUUCUUCAAUAAUAAACAUUCACUCGGGAUGCUAAUUGUUUCCACAGAUGGAAUUGGUGCAGCAGGAAGUUGAUCACCCGUGCCUGUAAGCCCAGGUAGACCAAUAGAACCUGACAUAAGUGGAGCAACAGCAGAAACCGCAGGCGCAGCACUGAGAAUAGGUGCUGUUGGUACAGUAAGGCCACUACUGACAACAGGGGUUCCCAAUGAACCAGCAAUACUUGAGGCAGUGCCGCUGCGAUCCAACUUCCACAUCAAAGCCGCUCGAGAAUGUGCAUUCAGUGCCAAGCCACCACCUUCAUCAUCAUCAAAAUCACCAGUAUUUGUCCCACCUUCUUGCAUUCCGGUUUGGUCAGUAACAGUUGACACCUUGAUUGGCCGACCUGCAAUUUCCACUUGUCCAUUCAAAUUUAAGGCAUUUCUAGCAUCUUCAAGGCGUGCAAACUGAACAAAACCAAAGCCUUUGCAGUGCCCAGUUUCAUCAAGAGGCAAUUGCACCAACUCCACAGUUCCAAAUGGUUCAAAAACCUGGCGAAGUUGAUCUUCUGUUAUGUUGAAGUGCAGGUUGCCAACAUACAACCUUCUAGCCCCUCCAGAGUAUGGGGCUAUAAGUCCACCACCUGCAUUCAUUGUUGUUGACUGAACAAGAUUCUUUUCAGCUUC
Molecule: unclassified non-coding RNA, 1157 nt
Filed under: Hevea brasiliensis (rubber tree)
Lineage: Eukaryota; Viridiplantae; Streptophyta; Magnoliopsida; Malpighiales; Euphorbiaceae
Source: RNAcentral